GCAAGGCAAGGCAGCAUGAGGCUUGGGGCAGAGCGACACCUCCUCCAUGGUUUUCUGGUAUUUAUUACCAUAUUUCUUGCAUGGACCAUGGCCGUCGUUGGCACGAGGCCUCCACCUCCGCAAUAUAUACCACGCUCACCACCUCCACCUCCAAAAGCGCCCGGAGGGCAAAUCCCCUAGUAGACAUUCCCUGUAUUUCAUGUAUUAGUCAUCAAUAGGCACAUGUCAUAUUGGUGAUAGAAUAUAGAUUUUUCUAUAGAUAAUUGCUCCUCAGUUGUUGUCCUGCUUUUAGUUUUUCUUUUUAAAAAUAAAAACGGACAAAUAAUGUGAAUGUACCACAUAGAAUAAAACUGCUAGAAGAUGGACGACAAAAAAUGUUGAAUAACAUUUUUUUUUAUAUUGGAUGUGUGUUUUCCAUAUAUGUGUGUUUGUAAUCAAAUCAUACCUUAUUUGUAUUGUUUUUACCUACCAUAUUUCCCUUAUAAACAUGACUUAUUUGUAUUAUUAUAAGAAGAUCAUUAAGAAAUAACAGCAUAAUGUAGGCCUUAAGAGCAAUUCUUAGUGGUGGACGUAGUCAUGUAGGUGUUUAAUACCAAAUCACUCCAAAAUUCUCUCAUUUCCUUCCUCUCUUUUUUUUUUUUUUUUUUUUCUCUAUUGCUUUGCUAUUUCUUAUUUUUGAAUCUUUACAAUCGGCAUCAACUAUUUAGAAUAUGCAUUGAGAUCCAUGAAUUUUAUCUACAUUAUGAAAACAAACCAAAAAAAUCUCAAAGACUUUCAAUGUGGGAAGAGAGAGAGAGAGUGAGAGUGAUCAAAUAAAAA
RNAcentral lists this long non-coding RNA (819 nucleotides) under Betula platyphylla (Asian white birch). RNAcentral's name for it is "RNA2841.1". Lineage: Eukaryota; Viridiplantae; Streptophyta; Magnoliopsida; Fagales; Betulaceae. The record is from RNAcentral.